Molecule: ribosomal RNA, 292 nt
Filed under: uncultured bacterium
Lineage: Bacteria
Description: partial 16S ribosomal RNA
Rfam family: Bacterial small subunit ribosomal RNA
Source: RNAcentral
GUGCCAGCAGCCGCGGUAAUACGUAGGUGGCAAGCGUUGUCCGGAUUUAUUGGGUUUAAAGGGUGCGUAGGUGGCCCUGUAAGUCAGUGGUGAAAUAUCUCAGCUUAACUGAGAGGGUGCCAUUGAUACUGCAGGGCUUGAGUACAGAUGAGGUAGGCGGAAUUGACGGUGUAGCGGUGAAAUGCAUAGAUAUCGUCAAGAACACCGAUAGCGAAGGCAGCUUACCAAGCUGUAACUGACACUGAGGCACGAAAGUGUGGGGAUCAAACAGGAUUAGAUACCCUGGUAGUCC